RNAcentral lists this unclassified non-coding RNA (222 nucleotides) under Hevea brasiliensis (rubber tree). Lineage: Eukaryota; Viridiplantae; Streptophyta; Magnoliopsida; Malpighiales; Euphorbiaceae. The record is from RNAcentral.
GCAUCUUAUUAUGGUAGGGAACAUGGGGAGCCAUCCCCAUCUCAUAUAGGGAGAUCUGGAUGGCAGCAGUCUGAUCUUGACAAGAGCCAAAUUAUGAACAAUGGUUUGAGUGGCCAUUAUAAGAGACAGGGUGGCUCAAACAGUGGUCUUGGCGGCUAUUCACCAAGAAAGAGAAGAACUGAGGCUGCUGCUAAGACUCCUUCCCCAACUAAACACUCUCCC